GAUGAACGCUGGCGGCGUGCCUAAUACAUGCAAGUCGAGCGAACGGACGAGAGGCUUGCUUCUCUGAUGUUAGCGGCGGACGGGUGAGUAACACGUGGAUAACCUACCUAUAAGACUGGGAUAACUUCGGGAAACCGGAGCUAAUACCGGAUGAUAUUUUGAACCGCAUGGUUCAAAAGUGAAAGACGGUCUUGCUGUCACUUAUAGAUGGAUCCGCGCUGCAUUAGCUAGUUGGUAAGGUAACGGCUUACCAAGGCAACGAUGCAUAGCCGACCUGAGAGGGUGAUCGGCCACACUGGAACUGAGACACGGUCCAGACUCCUACGGGAGGCAGCAGUAGGGAAUCUUCCGCAAGGGGCGAAAGCCUGACGGAGCAACGCCGCGUGAGUGAUGAAGGUCUUCGGAUCGUAAAACUCUGUUAUUAGGGAAGAACAUAUGUGUAAGUAACUGUGCACAUCUUGACGGUACCUAAUCAGAAAGCCACGGCUAACUACGUG
RNAcentral lists this ribosomal RNA (497 nucleotides) under uncultured bacterium. Its description in RNAcentral is "partial 16S ribosomal RNA". It matches the Rfam family "Bacterial small subunit ribosomal RNA", at positions 28 to 507 of the family's 1533-position model. The record is from RNAcentral.